Molecule: long non-coding RNA, 468 nt
Organism: Ictalurus punctatus (channel catfish)
Lineage: Eukaryota; Metazoa; Chordata; Actinopteri; Siluriformes; Ictaluridae
Exons: 2
Source: RefSeq, a predicted model, not a curated record
UUCCACGAGCGUCCUCCGGUUUGCUUGUUGUCCAGUAAAGCUGAAAGACUCACGCAGCCCAGCCAGGAGAAGCCAAAUUGUCGUGGAAUUAGACAACACUUGCAGACUCAUCCUCUGAAGAAAGAUGCUCGCCAGCAGGGGGCGGCGUAGGACAAUAAGCAGAACCUCCAAGCUGUUCAACAUGGCCACAGGAUGGCACACAGCCCAACGCGGGAAACUGGAUCGCCACGUGAAACGCGCCAAUCACGGCAGUUGAAGCACGCGGGUUUUCGAUGUGUAACGAAUAUCGCAGAUAUCGAAAAUAAACUGACACGAAUAUAACAAUAUUACUAAUUUCAUUAAACAUAUUGCCAUAAAAUGUGGUAGAAAACAACAGUCAAGUGACAACUUUUUAAUCGCAGCAUCUAAAGUUGGAACCUUCAUUAAAUGUUUGCAUAAUAGAAUAAAGACUCGUUAUGGUUUAAAUGA